Molecule: ribosomal RNA, 185 nt
Filed under: uncultured Bacillus sp.
Lineage: Bacteria; Bacillati; Bacillota; Bacilli; Caryophanales; Bacillaceae
Description: partial 16S ribosomal RNA
Rfam family: Bacterial small subunit ribosomal RNA
Source: RNAcentral
CCCUUAUGUUCUGGGCUACACACGUGCUACAAUGGCCGGUACAGACGGACGCAAAGCCGCGAGGUGGAGCAAAUCCUAAAAAGCCGGUCUCAGUUCGGAUUGCAGGCUGCAAUUCGCCUGCAUGAAGUCGGAAUCGCUAGUAAUCGCAGGUCAGCAUACUCGCGGUCGAAUACGUUCCGGGCCUU